RNAcentral lists this ribosomal RNA (420 nucleotides) under bacterium. RNAcentral's name for it is "partial 16S ribosomal RNA". It matches the Rfam family "Bacterial small subunit ribosomal RNA", at positions 355 to 776 of the family's 1533-position model. The record is from RNAcentral.
UGGGGGGUAUUGCACAAUGGGCGAAAGCCUGAUGCAGCGACGCCGCGUGGGGGAUGAAGGCUUUCGGGUUGUAAACCUCUUUCGCUAUCGAACAAGGCCCGCUUAGGGUGGGUUGAGGGUAGGUGGAGAAGAAGCGCCGGCUAACUACGUGCCAGCAGCCGCGGUAAUACGUAGGGCGCGAGCGUUGUCCGGAAUUAUUGGGCGUAAAGGGCUUGUAGGCGGCUUGUUGCGCCUGCUGUGAAAACGCGGGGCUUAACUUCGCGCGUGCAGUGGGUACGGGCAGGCUUGAGUGUGGUAGGGGUGACUGGAAUUCCAGGUGUAGCGGUGGAAUGCGCAGAUAUCUGGAGGAACACCGAUGGCGAAGGCAGGUCACUGGGCCAUUACUGACGCUGAGGAGCGAAAGCAUGGGUAGCGAACAGG